This 484-nucleotide ribosomal RNA is filed under the name uncultured bacterium. Its description in RNAcentral is "partial 16S ribosomal RNA". It matches the Rfam family "Bacterial small subunit ribosomal RNA", at positions 30 to 507 of the family's 1533-position model. The record is from RNAcentral.
AUUGAACGCUGGCGGCAGGCCUAACACAUGCAAGUCGAGCGGAUGAAGCGUGCUUGCUCCUGGUUUCAGCGGCGGACGGGUGAGUAAUGCCUAGGAAUCUGCCUGGUAGUGGGGGAUAAUGUCCGGAAACGGGCGCUAAUACCGCAUACGUCCUGAGGGAGAAAGUGGGGGGUCUUCGGACCUCACGCUAUCAGAUGAGCCUAGGUCGGAUUAGCUAGUUGGUGGGGUAAAGGCCUACCAAGGCGACGAUCCGUAACUGGUCUGAGAGGAUGAUCAGUCACACGAGAGCUGGGACACGGUCCAUAGCCCUAAGGGAGGGACCAGGGGGGUAUAUGGGACAACAGGCGAAAGCCUGGUCCAACCGUCCCGCGUGUGUGGAGAAGGUCUUCGGAGUGUAAAGCACUUUUAGUUGUGAGGAAGGGCAUUAAGUUAAUACCUUGCUGUUUUGACGGUACCAGCAGAAUAAGCACCGGCUAACUUCGUG